RNAcentral lists this ribosomal RNA (2934 nucleotides) under Triticum aestivum (bread wheat). RNAcentral describes it as "partial small subunit ribosomal RNA". The record is from RNAcentral. Lineage: Eukaryota; Viridiplantae; Streptophyta; Magnoliopsida; Poales; Poaceae.
AUGGCUGAGCAGGCAAGAGCAGAUUUUGCAACAAAGCUCUCACUACGGAAAUUCAUGGCGACGGCGCAGCGUGUAACUCUAGAUCAAAGGCAGCUUGCCCGUAGCAUGGGCCUGGAUCAUCUGCUUGACCUAAAAUGUGAUACUCUGCCGCGCGGUGUCGUUCAUUAUCUGGCAUCAAACUUUGAUGUACCCUCAAGGGCUAUUGAACUCCCCAAUGGGUUCAAGUUCACAAUCACACCCUACUGCAUACACCAGGUCCUGGGGAUACCACUUGGCAGCAGAACCAUAGAGAAGAAGCAAAACCCAGCACUUAGAUCACUGAUUGCUCAACAGACAAAAUGCAAAGGAAACUACCCAACCAUAAACGAGCUGGAUAACUUGAUACAACCUGGGCUAGAUGGAGAUUCAUUCAAAAGGAUUUUCACAAUGUAUGCGCUCACCGUGCUCCUCUGCCCUUCAAGCCAUGGGGCUGCUAGUCCAGAUUACUACCACAUUCUGGAAGACCCUGAACAGAUUGGCUCAUUCGACUUCUGCAUGGCUGUCCUUGACAAGCUUGUGGCGUCAAUUGAUAGCUACAAGGCUGGAGCCACAACGGUGCUCGGCGGGGAUAUCUUAACACUCAGGAUCAUAUACUUUGAAUUUCUUGACACCGACAUCAUGCCGGUCACAAGCAAGCGGCCACGGAUUUCACUUUGGACGUCUGAAAUUGUAGCAGAAUAUGAAAGGCGGGACUGCACAAGCAGCGAUAAAUUGCUUUACGGCAAGCUCCCGACAAAGCGUGUCUCGGAAACACCCUUCGGUCAAAUCAACAGACAGCCAAAAGUCACACUAGGUGCCUCGUAUGAUGAACUCCUGCAGUUCACCCUCUCAAUUGUUCCAGAGGAAAACCACCAGAUGGUUUUAGACGAGCUUCCAAAGAUUAUGCAUAGCAUGCAGAGCGAGCUUUUUGAUUCAAUGCAAAAUGUACUCGCCAAGAACUUUAUGAACCUGCUGAAACUGAUGUCGUCAAUGCAUUCUUCAUCACCUAGCAAAAAACAGAAUAGCACAGACAAAGAUUCAAGUUGCGUGCCCAUUUCAGAGGCUCCGACGGUUCCUUGUGGUAGCCACUCCAGCUUGCAAAUGACAAGUACCACACUGGCUGAAAGAAAACAGGAUAAGCCUGAAGCAAAAACAGGGGCAGAAUGUGGCUCAGGGCAGGAAACAGAGCACGUUUUUACAGCUGAAGAAACAAAGCCAUUGUCUGAAGUACAAAGGAAGAACAACAAAGCCCCCGUACCCGUGCUCUUGAGUUUUGAGGAUACAAGUGAUGAAGUUUUGGCGGAAUGGGACAAACAAGCAUGUGCCAAUGCCAGGGUACCCAACGUUGAAAGCCUACUUCGAAUAAUUGACACAAUACCAAUUUCGACCGACCCAGACCUGCCGCGCUGCACGGAAGCAUUGGAGGGGAUGUACCCACAGAAGGUGCAGGUUGGAGAUACCGAGGCUGAACCUACCCACACUUUUAGCUUGCUUUCUUAUGUUCUUGACGAGAAAGCAUUUUGGCACCGACCGCUGAGUCCACGAGAGCCAGAUUUAUUAACCUGCAGGGAGCUCAAUCUGUUUGAAGAAUGGAAGGUCUCUACCAAGGUUGAUGGUAGUGAAGGUCCAACCAGCAGUGACCCUAUCAGGACGACAGAGGACAUCACUAAUAGAAACAAAAGGACGACAUGCAUGUCCUUAAACGAGACGGCUGACAACUGCGUUGCUUUGAAAAAAAGGGCAAGGAUGUUUCAGAACAUAGAUGAGCUGUCGAGCAAAAUUCAUCAUGAGAUGCCACACACUUUAGGAACUGUAAGCGCAUCAUCACACCAGAAAGAUCAGUCAUCAAGCGACGCUAAUCUUGGUCAGAUCCAACAAACACCGGUCCAUGGCACCUCUUCAGCUACCAACAAAGACUUCCCAUGGGACGACCCUGAUAUGGUAGCGCAGUUGAUCGAGUCUACCGAUAGGAUUGAGGAAUUGUGGUUUUCACAACAAAGACAAACUCAGUAUACCACAUCAGUUACACAAGACAUCCACAUAUCAGAGAUCAAGCCCAAUGAGAUUUGUUGCAAUUUCACCUCAAAUCCAGUCGAAAGUGCUGUUUUCAGCGACAUUGUGUCACGAAUACCACCUCAUUCAAGGCAAAAGAGCCCAAGAAUAGUACAAAUGGGCUCGACAUGGGUUGAACAUAGGGUUUUUGGCCUGAGCAUGCAAGUGUAUGGCCGGGUCAAUAAGUACGUGAUCAAUAUGUUGGGAAAAGCAGUAAUGGCCGAGCAAACCGAAAAGGAUAGGCUCAAUCUUCUCCCGCGAAGUUACUGGUCAAGAUACUAUGUCGAAUGCGACAAUGCUAAAUUAUUCCAAAAUGCAUUUGAAACUCCAUUGGCGUUAUCUGUUCACCUGAGGGAGACAAUGAUAGGAUUCCAUCUUGACCGAAUUCACAUGGUGUUUUUACCUUUAAGCUCAUACAGUUUCUGGUACACGGUUGUUGCUAACUUUAGGAAGAAAUUGUUCGAAGUCCUCUGCCCAAACAACAGAAUCGACUUGAUUGCUGACGAAGCUCAGCUUGUAAUCAAGAAUUUCAAAGCGGCUUUCAAGCUGGCAUACAAGAGAUCACAACUAAAUGUGACUGACAUGGGUGUGUCUUUCCGGAGUGUGUGCUCUUCAACUAAAGAGGCAGACAGUGGGAUCUUCACAAUGAAGUUGGUACAAGGACAUGAUGGAGACAACACUUUGUGUUUCGAACCCGAGCAUGCAAAGAGCCUGCGCGAGAGUCUAACUUACUACAUGGUUGCUCACCCUUGCAAUGAAAAACUGAUGCCAGAAACCAAAGAAAUCUUAAGAAAAUAUGGUGUUCCAUUUGACUACUCGACUCCAGGGUAUUCUCCAUGGGGUCCUGUUGCAGAACAAUGUUAA